AGGGUUCGAUCAUGGCUCAGAACGUACGCUGGCGGCACGCCUAACACAUGCAAGUCGAACGAAGUAGCAAUACUUAGUGGCAGACGGGUGAGUAACAUGUAGGUAUCUACCCUUUGGCCUGGAAUAACACGAGGAAACUUGUGCUAAUACCGGAUAAGUCUUUACGGAGAAAGCUUUAUGCACCAUUGGAUGAGCCUGCACUUGAUUAGUUUGUUGGUGGGGUAAUGGCCUACCAAGACUGUGAUCAAUAGCUGAUUUGAGAGGAUGAUCAGCCACAUUGGGACUGAGACACGGCCCAAACUCCUACGGGAGGCAGCAGUGGGGAAUAUUGCACAACGGAGGAAACUCUGAUGCAGCGAUGCCGCGUGAGUGAAGAAGGCCUUUGGGUUGUAAAGCUCUUUCGUCGGGGAAGAAAAUGACUGUACCCGAAUAAGAAGGUCCGGCUAACUUCGUGCCAGCAGCCGCGGUAAUAC
Molecule: ribosomal RNA, 473 nt
Filed under: uncultured bacterium
Lineage: Bacteria
Description: bacterial SSU rRNA
Rfam family: Bacterial small subunit ribosomal RNA
Source: RNAcentral